UGAGGUAAUCUUGUUUUUGCAGUGUUUCCUAACCUUUUUGAUACCAGGGAUUAGUUUGCUGCCUUCCUAAGCUGUCAAGGAGAUCUCAG
This is a non-coding RNA of Chelonoidis abingdonii (Abingdon island giant tortoise), 89 nucleotides long. The record is from RefSeq and is a predicted model, not a curated record. NCBI's taxonomy places the organism in Eukaryota, Metazoa, Chordata, Testudines, Testudinidae.